RNAcentral lists this ribosomal RNA (568 nucleotides) under Daphnia sinevi. RNAcentral describes it as "partial small subunit ribosomal RNA". The record is from RNAcentral. Lineage: Eukaryota; Metazoa; Arthropoda; Branchiopoda; Diplostraca; Daphniidae.
AGCCGUCGCGGUUAGACGAAGAAUCUAAAUAGAACAAUUGUUUGUUAGUUUACGUUAAUUUUUGAGGUAGUAUUUUCUUUUUUGUUGGGUGAAAUCAAAAUAAAAGGUUAAAAUUUCCAUAAAAAUUUAAAGGAACUAAAAAACUUAGAUUAAAAACCAGGAUUAGAUACCCUGUUAUUCUAAGCUAAAUAGAAAUAGGGUAGUAAAAGCUGUUCUUCAAACCCAAAGAUUUUGGCGGCACUUUACCCAAAUAGAGGAGCUUGCCCUAUAAUCGAUAGUCCUCGUUUUAUCUUGCCCUAACUUGUUAAGCUUGUAUACCGCCGUUGCCAGAUUACUUUUGAAGAACGUUUUCAAGAAAUGAAAUUUUUCAACUUCAGGUCAAGGUGCAGUUUAUGUUAGGGUAGAGGUGAGCUACACUUUUUAUUAAAAAGUACGGAUCUUAAAUGUAAUUUUAAGGGAAGGUGGAUUUAUUAGUAAAUUAAUUUAAGUACAAUUAGUUGAACUAGGUAAUAGAGUGUGCACAUAUCGCCCGUCACUCUCUUCUCAAGAGGAGAUAAGUCGUAACAAA